This 400-nucleotide ribosomal RNA is filed under the name uncultured Chitinophaga sp. Its description in RNAcentral is "bacterial SSU rRNA". It matches the Rfam family "Bacterial small subunit ribosomal RNA", at positions 505 to 907 of the family's 1533-position model. The record is from RNAcentral. Lineage: Bacteria; Pseudomonadati; Bacteroidota; Chitinophagia; Chitinophagales; Chitinophagaceae.
GUGCCAGCCGCUGCGGUAAUACGGAGGGUGCAAGCGUUAUCCGGAUUUACUGGGUUUAAAGGGUGCGUAGGCGGACAGGUAAGUCCGUGGUGAAAUCUUCCGACUUAAUCGGGAAACUGCCAUGGAUACUAUUUGUCUUGAAUAUUGCGGAGGUGAGCGGAAUACGUCAUGUAGCGGUGAAAUGCAUAGAUAUGACGUGGAACACCGAUUGCGAAGGCAGCUCACUACACAAUCAUUGACGCUGAUGCACGAAAGCGUGGGUAGCAAACAGGAUUAGAUACCCUGGUAGUCCACGCCCUAAACCUAUGAUUACUCGACAUUUGCGAUAUACUGUAAGUGUCUGAGCGAAAGCAUUAAGAAUCCACCUGGGAAGUACGACCGCAAGGUUGAAACUCAAAGG